This 210-nucleotide ribosomal RNA is filed under the name uncultured bacterium. RNAcentral's name for it is "partial 16S ribosomal RNA". It matches the Rfam family "Bacterial small subunit ribosomal RNA", at positions 524 to 731 of the family's 1533-position model. The record is from RNAcentral.
UACGUAGGGUGCAGGCGUUUAAUCGGAAUUACUGGGCGUAAAGCGUGCGCAGGCGGUCUGCUAAGAGAGGUGUGAAAUCCCCGGGCUUAACCUGGGAACUGCGCUUCUAACUGGCAGGCUAGAGUGUGGCAGGAGGGGGGUGGAAUUCCACGUGUAGCAGUGAAAUGCGUAGAGAGUGUGGAGGAACACCGAUGGCGAAGGCAGCCCCUG